This 7492-nucleotide long non-coding RNA is filed under the name Homo sapiens (human). RNAcentral describes it as "non-protein coding lnc-LRP2BP-1:1". The record is from RNAcentral. Lineage: Eukaryota; Metazoa; Chordata; Mammalia; Primates; Hominidae.
GCACGUGGAGCCCGGCGCCGGGGGCAGGGGGAGGGGGCGGGCGCGCGAGGCCAUCCGCCGAUUGGCCAGCUGUGGAUGCGUCAGGCCCUCCCACCUCGGGGCGGGGCCCGCGGCGGCCCCACGGAGCCUCAGCGCGCGUGCGCAGGGUAAGUCAGUGGGCGUGAGAGGACUGGAGUAGGAGCGGGUGGGGCUCCGCGGCCGCCAUGAGGCGCGCUGAGUUUGACACGUCUCCCGGUAGUGCGCCCGCCCUUUAAUCCUUACGGAGAAGCGGGAGUUUCGGCUGCAGGUUUUGGCUCUGCCGGCGCGCACGUAACCAGGAAACUGGGAGCCACGCGCAGCUCCCCGUCGACGCCGCCUUCAGAAGCCGCUGUGCACUGCGCUGCUGCCGCCUCGGCGCCGGGGAACGCAAGUUCCUUUACCUCGCGCGCAGUCGCCCGCCUCCCAACCCGGGAGGUGAAGGCGGGGACGGCGAGCGCGAACUCGAGGGGAUGGCUGUCCCGAGUGGCAACGGCCGAGCCCGGCCCGCGCAGGGACCCUUGUGGAGGGGCCCUCGGGGAGAGGCCGCAGCACGCUGGGGUCGUCACGCUGGUCCACGCCGGGCUCUCCUCCCGGGAGAGCGGACCCGGCCGCGUGCGAUUCGGACCCGCGGGGCUGGUGAAGCCGCUGUCCGGCCCCGCGGGUGCUGUCGGGCGUGCGUCACUGCUUUUUGUAGAACAUGACCUGACUUCCGAUGGCAGCUACUGACGUCAGAGCUGCUCCCUAGACUCUCCCUAAGCGUCUUUCCAGAAGGAUCUGCUUAGAAACCAAAGCUCCAGCCGAGUGUUUCUUUUCCCCUACAUUUUUAGUGAUUCCCUUCUGUUGAUGCCUUUGAAAGCUCGGAGAAAUAAAUACGUUUAUUGUUAUGCUGUUAGAAAACAAGUUCAUGCUUGUCCUCUAAAGAUAAGUGGUCUUUUCAUUCUACUUUUUGUUUUGUAGUAAGAGCCAUAAAAUUUGCAAUCGCAAGUUUAUGUUGUUAUACUUAGUUACCCAAGGGGUAGUUUUAAGCAUUUUUAUUCAUAUGAAUAUUUGAAUAUAAAUGUGUGUUCAAAUAUAUAGAAUCGUUCUUAUAUUCCACAUUUUUAAUAUUUAAACUAUUCACAAUAUCUUUUAAUGAUGUUUAAAGAACGGCAGUGUAGAGAUACUGUUGUCAGAUUUGUGAGGUGAGCACACGUUGAUAUUGCCAGUUUCGCUUUUGUUUAUCAAUUCAAUAAGCACUGCUUUUUAAAACACGUGUUGAAGCUUCAGGUUUGCACAGAAGUUCAUUUUCAGGAAUUCCUAACUAAUAAAGGGUAUCAGACACGUUCUUACAGUUUUGAACAUAAAUACUGCAGUUAGCAUAUGUAGUGGGAUAUUUGUGUGGUGAAAGUGCCUCCAUAUUUCAUAUCUUUUCUUUGAAACAAGAUUCUGUUCAGUAUGCAUUAAGUGGUAGUUAUUUUUUAACUUCCUGUUACAUACGUAAAUUUCAUAAGGAAAGGAAAUUUGGGGAGUCGUUACAGCUUUUCUCCCUUUAAUCACAGCGUACCUGUCCAUUGCUCACAUUGUUUUCAGAAAAAAAAGUUGUAUCUCAGCUGGAUAUCUGACUUGACUUUAGUAAUGGGCCUAGAAACUAUAAACUGAACAAAGCUUAUAAUGCACAAAAACAGGAUAAGUACAUUUGGGGGACAAUAUCUUACUGGCAAGUAACUGGAGUUUCACCAGGCGUGUAGCAGGUGGGAUCAAUUUUCUAAAACGGAAGAUGAUCUAAGAUGCAUAUUUUAUAGGCGUUCUCCUAAGCAGUGCUAAUUCUACAUGUUUUAAUUGCUGGUAGAUGCGUUUCCAGAACGAGGAUGCCAUUUACAGCGAGUGUUAAAAAAAACGUUGGAUGAUGAGUAAGUGACCGAAUAGAUGAGAGAUGUGUGGGCUGAAUCUUGAGUAGUAAGAGUUUGCUAAGGAGUCCAGGAAGGGAAGAGUAUUUCUAAGAAGUGUAAAAUAUCUUCCAGUAUUGAGAGCACUAUAUGUAGUUCAGUCUGGGGGCAGUGUGUGAUACACAUGCAGCUGUGAUGUGAAAUAGAGAAAGGCCGACAAAUGAGAAAGUAUUAACCACUAACGUCUAUUCCAGUUUAUUAUAUUACAAAUUGACAUUAAUUGAGCACUUGUGCCUCAAGACUAACGCUCAUAGGUAUUAUCUGCAUUUUACAGAAGAGGAAAUUGAGGCUUAGGGAGAUCCAUUAACUUGUCAUGUAAUUAUUAGCAGGUAAAUCAGGAAUUUGAAGUCAGUUUGACUCCAGAGCCCACAUUCUUAUACCUAUGUGUUUUAAAUAAUUUUGGUCACCUCUGGUCAAUUCAGGCUAAGAUUGGUUUCUUUAAUGCAAACCAAAGGCCUUUUUUUUUUUUUUUUUUUUUAACUCUGAAACACAAUCUCGCUGUCUUGCCCAGAUUGGAAUGCAGUGGCGUGAUCUCAGCUCACUGCAACCUCCGUCUUCCCGGGUUCAAGUGAUUCUCGUGCGUCAGCCACCCAAGUAGCUGGGCUUACAGCUAUACGCCACCACACCCAGCUAAUUUUUGUAUUUUCAGUAGAGAUGGGUUUCACUGUGUUGCCCAGGCUGGUCUCAAACGCCUGACCUCCAGUGAUCCACCUGCCUUGGCCUUCCAAAAUGUUGGGAUUACAGGCAUGAGCCACCAUGCCUGGCCGCAAAAGAGUCUUCAGAGAAAAUUAUUGUAAUCCAUAGAAAAAACAACUGUUUUAUUUAAUAAUGACUGUCAGUGUAGCCUUGUUCCUGGAAUUGAAUCUCCCGCAAUACUAAACCUAGUACUUCUUAUUCAAGUAAUUACUCUUGAGGGUCAGGCGCGGUGGUGGCUCACGUCUGUAAUCCCAGCACUUUGGGAGGCUGAGGCAGGCCGAUCGCCUGAGGUCAGCAGUUUGAGACCAGAAUGGCCAACAUGGUGAAACCCCGUCUCUACUAAAAAUAGAAAAAUUGGCCGGGCGUGGUGGCAGGUGCCUGUAAUCCCAGUUACUCCGGAGGCUGAGGCAGGAGAAUCGCCUGAACCUGAGAGGCGGAGGUUGCAGUGAGCCGAGAUUGCGCCACUGCACUCCAGCCUGGGUGACAAGAGCAAGAUUCCGUCUCAAAAAAAAAAAAAGGAAAAGAAAAAGUAAUUACUCUUGCAUCAGUGAAUUGUGCCAGGUGAAAAUUAUUAAAAGUAGUUGGUGGAACCGAUAAGCUAAUUUUAUCUAUUUCUUGCUUGCUGUGGUUUUCCUGUUUCUUAUUGACCAAGAAAACACUGGAAAGCAUUACCAAAAGGCACAGUAUUGAAAGGAGGAGUAAUUGAGAAUACCUACUCAUUCCUACUUUAAAACAUUAAUUGGAUUGUAUAUGUUUAGUAAUGCCAUAGAAAACUUCAGCUCUAAAGCAAGUGAAAUAAUGUAAAACUAAAAAUCUCACCAGAUGCAGUGGCUCACGCCUGUAAUCCCAACACUUUGGGAGGCUGAGGCAGGCAGAUCACUUGUGGCCAGGAGUUCGAGAUCAGCCUGGCCAACAUGGCGGAACCGUCUCUACUAAAAAUACAAAAAUUAGCCAGGUGUGUGGUGCGUGCCUGUAAUGCCAGCUACUUGAGAGGCUGAGGUGGGAGAAUCACUUGAACCCAGGAAGCAGAGGUUGCAGUGAGCCGAGAUCGUGCCACUGCACUCCAGCCUGGGUGACCGAGUGAGGCCUCAUCUCCAAAAAUACUGAAAACUAAAAAUCCCAGUAGCUGGCCUGGUUUCACAUGUAUUUUUUAAAUCCCUUGAGAAUAUCAUAACGCCAAAGCAUUGAAGUCAAACGCAUCAAGCAUUUCUGAAUAUGAUGUCUUGUUUAUUGCCAGCCAGGCACCCAUGGUAUAUCAAUGCUGACCAGAGUCCACUGAGCCUUAGAAGUAACGAUAUUUUAAUUAAUAAUGAUAUUAUGGCAAUAAUACUUCUAUCGUUCAUACACUGAAGGUGAUAAUAUUCCAAAUAUGACAACUUUUCAAAGACAGAAGGUUAUAACCAGAUCUGGAAUUUCCAUAGAUUUUUUUUAAGUUUUUUUUUUUAAACAUCUACAGAUUUAAGAUGACUUGAAUUAAUCAAAUAUAAUUCUGGGCUUCAUUGCAAUGCCACUGUCAAGAAACCCAUUACCCUAAUAAUUGUAAAAACGGAAGAAUUUCUUACAAAGAAAUUCUUUCUCUUUAACAUAAAUUCUUCCAGCCUUGAUAACUCAAACUUCUUGGGGAAGAUGAUAAAUUGGAUAGUUAUUCUAAACAACUGCUGCAACAGGAUAUUGUGGCAAAAAGAAAAGGCAAAGUAUAGUUAUCCUCUUUUGAUGAUGUUUACUUUCCUGAGAGCCUGUAAUCAGAAGGGUCCAGUGGUCUCAAUGGUGACUAGAUUUAAAUGUUCACUUCUUCACUGUUGUGAUAAGAACUUGGAGAACUUGAAAGGUAUUUCAUAUUUUUGUUAUUUCUCCUCCUGGUUAUAUAUUCCUUUCAAUGAAAUGUGGAAAUUACAGAUGAUAAAUUUGUAAAAUUAGAUGAAGUAGAGAAAAAGGUAGAAAGUUAGUCCUUAAUAUUAAACCAAUUGAUGGAGGGAGCCAAGUUUCUUAUUGUUGGAGAGGGAAGUUACAGAUUAGUAGAAAAGGCUAAAAUGAGCCAGGUAGUAAUGGAUUUGUCCAAGAUGUCAAUAAGAAUUCAUAGUUAGCUUAAUAUAGAUUCAGAUGGAUAGAAGCAGAAAUAAUUAUAGGUGUGUGUGUAUACAUGGGUUAUGCAUAUACAUAUGUCCUAGCUCUGCCUGCUGUGAGAGGGCCUAAAGCAGUGACACCGCAGUAACAAUGAACACACCCAGUACCCAGAUCCGGGUUUCUAAUACCAUUCUCUAGUGAAAGAAACCAGGGCUCCUUGCAGACAUUGCUGAUUCUGGGGCUGGGGCAGGGAAAAUACAAGAUGAGCCUAGAGCAUCGUGUAGUACCAGAACAAGGUACUGGUACUUGUUCCAGUAAGUGGAAGGAUAGGACAUGUGAAAGGGACCCAGGAGCUAACCUGAAAGAGCUCCCAAUGGCCAAAACUGGAACUAACUCAGGUACUGUUGGAUUAUAACUCAGUACAUAGUUAUCCAUGAGUCUAUACUGAUAUAAACAACUGAAUGAAUAAAUAAAUAAAUGGGAGAUGGGAGACAGAAGACAAUGCUUCUUUACAGAAGAAUUUCAAAUGUUUAAUGUAGAUAUUCCCUGGUGAAGACGAUUCCGCCUCCAACGCCUUCUUGAAUGUGGGCUACACAUAAUGACUUGCUUCCAAAAAGUAGAGUAUGGGAAGGGGAAAACGAAGCGACUUUACAGUGGAGAAGCCUGUUGGAUGCUGCCAUGGCCAGUAAUUGUUCACAUCCUCAGUGGAAAGUCCUGUUGAUGAUGUGAUUGUUGACACGAUGUGAUGAGAAGGCCACUUCACCUCUUCGGUAUUCUUCCCUAAAACCCAUAGCCCAGUCUAAUCAUGAGUAAAACAGAUGAAUGUUGAUUGGGGACAUUCUUUAGGAUACACGGCUAGUAUUCCUCAAAACUGUGAAGGUUAUGAAAAACAAGGGAAGUUUGAGAAACUGCCGCAGACCAGAAGAGGCUCAGGAGGCAUGGUGACUGACUCUAGUGUGUUCACUUGGAUGGGAUCCUGGCACAGCAAAAGAACGUCAGUGGAAAGAUGAGUAAAAUCCUAAUAGAGUUUUAGGUAAUUUUCACGAACCAAUGUUGGUUUCCUAGUUGUGGCAAACAUACUAUUAUAAUGUGAUGUUAACAGUGGGGGACACUGAGGGACACUCUGUGGUAUCCUUGCAGCUUUUCUGUACAUCUCAAAUUAUUGUAAAACAUAAAGUGUACUUCAAAAAAGAGGAAUUGAGGCCACUUAAAGCUCUCACAGUGGCAGCGUUCUCACAGCUGUUUGGUCUGCUUAUCCAACACGCUUCAUUUCCUCGUAAGACGUGCCGACUGCCCAUUGCACUGACCGUUGGAAGACCGUAGGCAUUCUCUAGAAUGUCAGUCACUUGGGCUCACACCAGUUGAACUGUAUGCCUACCAAGAGUCAGUUUUUCUACACCUGUAAGGAUUAUUAUAAAAUGUAAUUCAAUUAAAUAUUUUUUCUUUUUUCUUUUUUUUUUUUUUGAGACGGAAUCUUGCUCUGUCACCCAGGCUGGAGUGCAGUGGCACCAUCUCAGCUCACUGUAACCUCUGCCUCCUAGGUUCAAGCGAUUCUCCUGCCUCAGCCUCCCUAGUAGCUGGGACUACAGGCAUGGGCUACUACGCCCAGCUAUUUUAUUUUUUUCUGUAUUUUUAGUAUAAACAGGAUUUCACCAUGUUGGUCAGGCUGGUCUUGAACUCCUGACCUCAAAUGAUCCACCUGCCUUGGCCUCUCAAAGUACUGGGAUUACAGGCGUGAGCCACCCUGCCCGGCCUCAAUUAAAUAUUAUGUAACUGAUGAGAUAUGAGUGAGACAUGAGAGCUUGUUUUUAAGAAAAUGAAUGCUUUCAAAGUCAAGUCACUACGAAAACUUGUUUCGAAGUAGAUGAGAAUAUUAAGUCAACUGUAAAAUAUGGGGGAAAGAAUUCUGUACUUGGAUUGUUUAUGGGCAUUUUAAAAUUUAAACUCCAUUUUAAAGAAACCUAAUCUGGAAUUCUUAUGCCCAUAGUUUAUGCAAGAAAACUCUAAAUUCUCACGGUUGAACACUAGUUAAAUCACUUCUGGCCCUAAAUGAGAAGAUUGGGAAAUAACUUUUUUUUACACGUUUUGGGUAUAAAGUGCACAUGGUAUUUUUGAACACUCUUUUAUUAAUCUCCACUGUCAUUCUUGUUUGACCACCUGCCACUCCCAAGAAUGCCAGGUCAGAGGGGUCCAAAUGUGUUUACUGUACAGUGUUUCUUUCACUUAAAGAAGGUAAGGACUGCAGAUGAACAGAUACGAAGGUUUGUAUUACCAACUGCACCUGCAUAAAAUUGGAUAACUAAAAAUGAUUUACUGGAUGAUUUGAGACACUCAAAAGUUUGAAACUCAGUUGUUUUUUUUUAGUGAAGGUCAUUUAAAGUGCCUGGAAAAUGUAGAAUACUAGAUAUAUACUCUGAAUAGAACUUAGCAUCAUAUAUUACAUUGUUAUUCACUUGUUUUAAUUAUUAUUUUAGGCUGGGCACGGUGGCUCACGCCUGUAAUCCCAGCACUUUGGGAGGCUGAGGUGGGCGGAUCACAAGGUCAGGAGUUCAAGACGAGUCUGGCCAACAUAGUGAAACCCCGUCUCUAUUAAAAAAUACAAAAAAAUUAGCCGGGUGUGGUGGUGUGCGCCUGCAAUCCCAGCUACUUGGGAGGCUGAGGUGGGAGAAUCACGUGAACCUGGGAGGUGGAGGUUGCAGUGAACCAAGAUUGCGCCAUUGCACUCCAGCCUGGGCAACAGUGUGAGACUCCGUUCUCAAAAUAAAUAAAUAAAAUAAAAAUAAAAAUAA